CAGUCGAGCGGUACAGGGGUGCUUGCACCCCGCUGACGAGCGGCGGACGGGUGAGUAAUGCUUAGGAAUCUGCCCAGUAGUGGGGGAUAGCCCGGGGAAACCCGGAUUAAUACCGCAUACGUCCUACGGGAGAAAGCAGGGGAUCUUCGGACCUUGCGCUAUUGGAUGAGCCUAAGUCGGAUUAGCUAGUUGGUGGGGUAAAGGCCUACCAAGGCGACGAUCCGUAGCUGGUCUGAGAGGAUGAUCAGCCACAUCGGGACUGAGACACGGCCCGAACUCCUACGGGAGGCAGCAGUGGGGAAUAUUGGACAAUGGGGGCAACCCUGAUCCAGCCAUGCCGCGUGUGUGAAGAAGGCUUUCGGGUUGUAAAGCACUUUCAGCGAGGAGGAAGGCCUUAAAGUUAAUACCUUUGAGGAUUGACGUUACUCGCAGAAGAAGCACCGGCUAACUCCGUGCCAGCAGCCGCGGUAAUACGGAGGGUGCAAGCGUUAAUCGGAAUUACUGGGCGUAAAGCGCGCGUAGGUGGUUAGGUAAGCGAGAUGUGAAAGCCCCGGGCUUAACCUGGGAACGGCAUUUCGAACUGUCUGACUAGAGUGUGGUAGAGGGUAGUGGAAUUUCCUGUGUAGCGGUGAGAUGCGUAGAUAUAGGAAGGAACACCAGUGGCGAAGGCGGCUACCUGGACCAACACUGACACUGAGGUGCGAAAGCGUG
RNAcentral lists this ribosomal RNA (711 nucleotides) under Marinobacter alkaliphilus. Its description in RNAcentral is "bacterial SSU rRNA". It matches the Rfam family "Bacterial small subunit ribosomal RNA", at positions 59 to 763 of the family's 1533-position model. Lineage: Bacteria; Pseudomonadati; Pseudomonadota; Gammaproteobacteria; Pseudomonadales; Marinobacteraceae. The record is from RNAcentral.